Molecule: ribosomal RNA, 245 nt
Filed under: uncultured Actinomycetales bacterium
Lineage: Bacteria; Bacillati; Actinomycetota; Actinomycetes; Actinomycetales
Description: partial 16S ribosomal RNA
Rfam family: Bacterial small subunit ribosomal RNA
Source: RNAcentral
UGCUCGAGUGGCGAACGGGUGAGUAACACGUGAGUAACCUGCCCUUGACUUUGGGAUAACUUCAGGAAACUGGGGCUAAUACCGGAUAGGAGCUACUGCUGCAUGGUGGGGGUUGGAAAGUUUCGGCGGUUGGGGAUGGACUCGCGGCUUAUCAGCUUGUUGGUGGGGUAGUGGCUUACCAAGGCUUUGACGGGUAGCCGGCCUGAGAGGGUGACCGGCCACAUUGGGACUGAGAUACGGCCCAG